AGACCCGAAACCCGGUGAUCUAGCCAUGGGCAGGUUGAAGGUUGGGUAACACUAACUGGAGGACCGAACCGACUAAUGUUGAAAAAUUAGCGGAUGACCUGUGGCUGGGGGUGAAAGGCCAAUCAAACCGGGAGAUAGCUGGUUCUCCCCGAAAGCUAUUUAGGUAGCGCCUCGUGAAUUCAUCUCCGGGGGUAGAGCACUGUUUCGGCUAGGGGGCCAUCCCGGCUUACCAACCCGAUGCAAACUGCGAAUACCGGAGAAUGUUAUCACGGGAGACACACGGCGGGUGCUAACGUCCGUCGUGAAGAGGGAAACAACCCAGACCGCCAGCUAAGGUCCCAAAGUCAUGGUUAAGUGGGAAACGAUGUGGGAAGGCCCAGACAGCCAGGAUGUUGGCUUAGAAGCAGCCAUCAUUUAAAGAAAGCGUAAUAGCUCACUGGUCGAGUCGGCCUGCGCGGAAGAUGUAACGGGGCUAAACCAUGCACCGAAGCUGCGGCAGCGACACUCAGGUGUUGUUGGGUAGGGGAGCGU
This 531-nucleotide ribosomal RNA is filed under the name Salmonella enterica subsp. enterica serovar Derby. RNAcentral describes it as "partial 23S ribosomal RNA". It matches the Rfam family "Bacterial large subunit ribosomal RNA", at positions 711 to 1239 of the family's 2925-position model. The record is from RNAcentral. Lineage: Bacteria; Pseudomonadati; Pseudomonadota; Gammaproteobacteria; Enterobacterales; Enterobacteriaceae. RNAcentral also lists the same sequence under 3 other names.